This 695-nucleotide ribosomal RNA is filed under the name uncultured bacterium. RNAcentral describes it as "bacterial SSU rRNA". It matches the Rfam family "Bacterial small subunit ribosomal RNA", at positions 44 to 715 of the family's 1533-position model. The record is from RNAcentral.
AUGCUUAACACAUGCAAGUCGAACGGUAACAGAUAAGAUGAUCUCUUCGGAGUGAAUCUUUGCUGACGAGUGGCGGACGGGUGAGUAAUGCUUGGGAAUCUGCCCAAUAGUGGGGGAAAACUCGGGGAAACCCGGGCUAAUACCGCAUAAUCUCUACGGAGGAAAGAGGGCCUCUACAUGUAAGCUCUCGCUAAUGGAUGAGCCCAAGUCAGAUUAGCUUGUUGGUAAGGUAAUGGCUUACCAAGGCUACGAUCUGUAGCUGGUCUGAGAGGACGACCAGCCACACUGGGACUGAGACACGGCCCAGACUCCUACGGGAGGCAGCAGUGGGGAAUAUUGCACAAUGGGCGCAAGCCUGAUGCAGCAAUGCCGCGUGUGUGAAGAAGGCUCUAGGGUUGUAAAGCACUUUCAAUAGAGAAGAAAAGCUUGAAAUUAAUACCUUCAAGCCUUGACGUAACCUAUACAAGAAGCACCGGCUAAUUCCGUGCCAGCAGCCGCGGUAAUACGGGAGGUGCGAGCGUUAAUCGGAAUUACUGGGCGUAAAGCGAGCGUAGGCUGUUAAUUAAGUCGAAUGUGAAAUCCCCGGGCUCAACCUGGGAACUGCAUCCGAAACUAUUUAACUAGAGUAUGGGAGAGGAAAGUAGGAUUUCCGGUGUAGCGGUGAAAUGCGUAGAUAUCGGAAGGAACACCAGUGG